Molecule: ribosomal RNA, 565 nt
Filed under: uncultured bacterium
Lineage: Bacteria
Description: bacterial SSU rRNA
Rfam family: Bacterial small subunit ribosomal RNA
Source: RNAcentral
GACGAACGCUGGCGGCGUGCUACUACAUGCAAGUCGAACGCUUUUGUUUUCACCGGAGCUUGCUCCACCGAAAACAAAAGAGUUGGCGGACGGGUGAGUAACACGUGGGUAACCUGCCCUCAAGCGGGGGAUAACACUUGGAAACAGGUGCUAAUACCGCAUAACAAUCAGAAUCACAUGAUUUUGAUUUGAAAGGCGCUUUUGCGUCACUUAAGGAUGGACCCGCGUGUGCAUUAGCUAGUUGGUGGGGUAACGGCUCACCAAGGCCACGAUGCAUAGCCGACCUGAGAGGGUGAUCGGCCACACUGGGACUGAGACACGGCCCAGACUCCUACGGGAGGCAGCAGUAGGGAAUCUUCGGCAAUGGACGAAAGUCUGACCGAGCAACGCCGCGUGAGUGAAGAAGGUUUUCGGAUCGUAAAACUCUGUUUGUUAGAGAAGAACAAGGGUGAGAGUAGAAUGUUCACCCCUUGACGGUAUCUAACCAGAAAGCCACGGCUAACUACGUGCCAGGCAGCCGUCGGUAAUACGUAGGUGGCAAGCGUUGUCCGGAUUUAUUGGGCGU